GAUGAACGCUGGCGGCGUGCCUAAUACAUGCAAGUCGAGCGAACAGACGAGGAGCUUGCUCCUCUGACGUUAGCGGCGGACGGGUGAGUAACACGUGGAUAACCUACCUAUAAGACUGGGAUAACUUCGGGAAACCGGAGCUAAUACCGGAUAAUAUAUUGAACCGCAUGGUUCAAUAGUGAAAGACGGUUUUGCUGUCACUUAUAGAUGGAUCCGCGCCGCAUUAGUUAGUUGGUAGGGUAACGGCUUACCAAGGCAACGAUGGGUAGCUGACCUGAGAGGUGGAUCGGCCACCCUGAACUGGGACACGGUCCAGACUCCUACGGGAGGCAGCAGUAGGGAAUCUUCCGCAAUGGGCGAAAGCUUGACGGAGCAACGCCGCGUGAGUGAUGAAGGUCUUCGGAUCGUAAAACUCUGUUAUUAGGGAAGAACAAAUGUGUAAGUAACUAUGCACGUCUUGACGGUACCUAAUCAGAAAGCCACGGCUAACUACGUG
This 496-nucleotide ribosomal RNA is filed under the name uncultured bacterium. RNAcentral's name for it is "partial 16S ribosomal RNA". It matches the Rfam family "Bacterial small subunit ribosomal RNA", at positions 28 to 507 of the family's 1533-position model. The record is from RNAcentral.